Molecule: ribosomal RNA, 253 nt
Filed under: uncultured bacterium
Lineage: Bacteria
Description: partial 16S ribosomal RNA
Rfam family: Bacterial small subunit ribosomal RNA
Source: RNAcentral
UACGUAGGCAGCGAGCGUUGUUCGGAGUUACUGGGCGUAAAGCGUGCGUAGGCGGUUGUCUAAGUCUGGUGUGAAAUCUCCCGGCUCAACUGGGAGGGUGCGCCGGAAACUGGAUGACUGGAGUGCCGGAGAGGUAAGCGGAAUUCCUGGUGUAGCGGUGAAAUGCGUAGAGAUCAGGAGGAACACCCAUGGCGAAGGCAGCUCUCUGGCUUCACCCUGACGCUGAUGCGCGAAAGCCAGGGGAGCGAACGGG